Molecule: non-coding RNA, 25 nt
Filed under: Mus musculus (house mouse)
Lineage: Eukaryota; Metazoa; Chordata; Mammalia; Rodentia; Muridae
Source: RNAcentral
UAAGGCUGAUUCGACCUGGCUGGGC